UCUAUCAAGAGUCCCAACAGGAUGUAGGUCAUGUAACCUCGUCAAACCCUAAGCAUAUGUCAUAUAGCAGACUUAAUCAGCUUGAGUCCAAUUGUGAACCUCAUGGAAACUUCUUUCCAUUAUCACGCUACUAUGGCCACAGACUUAAGGACUCAACCUCUUAAGUCGUAUAGGACUACUCAUCAACUACUAAGACCGAU
Molecule: long non-coding RNA, 200 nt
Filed under: Elaeis guineensis (African oil palm)
Lineage: Eukaryota; Viridiplantae; Streptophyta; Magnoliopsida; Arecales; Arecaceae
Description: long non-coding RNA (EGUI_LNC035020)
Source: RNAcentral